Molecule: long non-coding RNA, 2675 nt
Organism: Ahaetulla prasina
Lineage: Eukaryota; Metazoa; Chordata; Lepidosauria; Squamata; Colubridae
Exons: 2
Source: RefSeq, a predicted model, not a curated record
UAGAGGAUAAGUCCACAAAUCAGUAGGUUGAUCAGCUAAAAAAUAUUCGAUUAGUAUGACAAGCCUUUCAGUCUAUCGAUGGCUGUAUGUCAUGAUAAGUCCAGAGCACCAUGCUUCUAGUCAAGAAUAAUAUAAAGAAGUGGGAGAUAGUUAUUGUCUUGAUUCUGCGUUUUCAAAAGAUAUCUGGCCAGCUACUGGGAGAAGUAGGAUGCAGAAUUAGCUGGAUCCAGGUCUCCUAAAACUUCAAACCUCUCCAGAAUAGUUCAGUUUUUAAUAACCCAAAAACUAGAUGUAUGGGGGCCAAUCAUAUUUUCAGAAGAGGCUAUUCUGUAAUGCAGAUGCACCAAUUGAAAAGUAUCCCCAUCUUCACAAGCUGAUGAUGCAAUUUCUCCUAGGGAAUCAGGUGCAAGACAAUACUACAAAUACCUCACUACAAAGCCAUAAAGAACCUUUAUAGGCUAAAAUCUGCACUUUAAUUUCACUUGGAAAUUUAUAAGAAGUCUAUGCUGGAUUUGGAACAUACUGUACAUCAUGUGUAAACCAGCCAAUACUUUAGCUGCUGCAUUUUGAACCAAUUGUUUCAGGUCAUCUUUAAAGGCUGUCAAAUAUAUAGGUAAUCCUUGGCUUAUCACUUAAUAACCAUUCAGAGUAAUAAAAAAAGUGAUUUAUGACCUCUUGCCCCCCCACCCAGUCACAUGACUGGAUUUAGGGCACUUAGAAAGCAGCUCCCAUUUACAACUGCUUGCAGUGUCUUGUGAUCACAAGACUGAGAUUUGUGUCAUUUUCUGCUGGUUUCUAGCUCCAAAAACUCCUAUUUAGGAAAGUGGAUUUGGACUUAUAACCACAAGAUUUGGUGAACUGCACUGUAAACAUAGUCAUAAAAACAGGUUCAAUCGCAUAGGUUCCUCAACUUAUGACUAUCAUGAAUUAUUAAUGAAAUUCUGGUCCUAAUUGUGGUUGUAAGUGGAGAUUACCUUUAAAGUAUAUUGUAUAUUGUAGGACUCCAGAUAAGAGAGUAUGUUUGAGAAAUCUUCUGAAAUAAUAUAAUCUUGACAGUCGGAAUCAUAUAUUAGAAAGUUGCACAAUUCUCCCUCAAACUCGUGUCGUAUUAUUCCAUUAUCACUAUUCAUUAAUGCACAACAUGCAAGUAUUUCCAGCCUUUGGCUACCUAUUUUAAUGUGAAUUAACUUAGGUGACCCAAAUUCAUUCUUUCUGGCAUACAUUUUAGCCAUUUUGUACAAAUUAAAUAUAUACCUUCCCUUCCCUUCCCUUCAUGUAUGAAUCAAUUCCACCCCACAAAUCAGAUCACUUGGAUUUCAGAUUUUUCCCAUCCUUUUCCUUUCUCUUGGUUUCACAGGUGCAUAACAAAUAUUUUUGCUUUCUUUUAUUUACUUUCAUUGUUCAUAUGCUUUUUCACAUAUUCCUCUUACAUUCAAAGUCAUAACCUUCCAUAUACAUAUAUUGUGAUCAUCACCAAACGAACUCAAGAUAUAGAGCUCUGCUUGCCAUCAUGAUUUUGGUCAACUGAGACUUUCACAUAAAAUUAUUUUAAUAUGAUAUAAAAAGUAUAAGGAUAGCUAUGUCAAAUGCAGCAUUCUUAGCCAAUAAUAAGGACAUCAGCCAGUUUUGUCACAUGUUGGCUGAUAUGGCACAAAAAAAAACCCAAUGUCAAGUUUUAAUCCAAGCAUGUCAAUUACUCUAGGCAAAGUAGGGUUCGAAUCCAGAGUCUACCUGCAAGUCAACUUCCAAUUGCCUGCAUCCCAUCAAUGAUAUAUGCUCAGAAUGCUAAUCAUUAUACAUCAUUUUACAGCAAGAUAAAGAUAAAAAUCCAAGAUGCCUACUGUAACAGUUUACACCAAUUUAUAUAUCCAAAAAAAAAAAAGACUGCUCAAUGAUGUGCUAUGAAGCACAAGUUUAAAUGAAAUUAUUUGAUCCAUAUCCCUCUUUAGUUGGCAAGAGUUACAUGAUAAAACAGAAUACAGGAGGUGCCUUAGCUAUAGUGGAUAAAAAUUAUAGGCAAAUUACUUACAACCUUUGCCUAUGACUUCAUUGCAUGGGAUAUUAAAGGUGAUAUUCCUCAUUAUUUGCUCAUCAUGCCUCUUUUGCAGCCACUAUGAAAUAUUUAGCUCCAAUGUCAAAAAAGGAAAUGGGCUUGACCAACCCCCUAGAAAGUUUGUUUCCUAAGAAUAGUAUGACCUUCGCAGCUGUGACAGUCUUUAUUUGAGCAGCUGCUCAAAGCCAUGUCAACUUUUGAUUCAUUUAUGACUGGGAAGAAGUAUCUUUUAACAGGAAAGGAAACAGCCUAUCUAUAACAGACCAGAAUGUUAUGUCCUAGGAUUGCAACAUAAAUAACUGAUUUAGACAUAGAAGGAAACAUGGAUGAGUCACAUCAGUUCCACAAAUCAAUUGCUUGCAGGUGGCUAGUUCCAAUAUAAAUGUUUAUGUUUAACUGUCAUUUCAACGCUAUCUACUCAAAUUUCAGCUUCUGAAAUGCAACUGCAACUGCUCAUACAAUUUCCAAAAUAUGAGGCAGAAGAACUGCCGUCAAUAUGCCGUCAAUAUUUGGAUUCAGCUCCAGUUAGACUCUCAUGUGCAGUAUUGAUCACAUUCCAUUGUGACAUUCUAUGUAACUCUCUGACAAAAAUUAUGUAAAAAUUAAAUUCUAUGUAAAUCUG